AAAGACCUUAUGCUUUUGGAGCGGCCGAUGUCUGAUUAGCUAGUUGGUGGGGUAAAGGCUUACCAAGGCGACGAUCAGUAGUUGGUCUGAGAGGACAACCAGCCACACUGGGGCUGAGACACGGCCCAGACUCCUACGGGAGGCAUCAGUGGGGAAUUUUGGACAAUGGGCGAGAGCCUGAUCCAGCAAUGCCGCGUGAGUGAAGAUGGCCUUCGGGUUGUAAAGCUCUUUCAGUUGAGAAGAGAAGGUUGUGACUAAUAAUCACAGCCCAUGACGGUAUCGACAGAAGAAGCACCGGCUAACUACGUGCCAGCAGCCGCGGUAAUACGUAGGGUGCGAGCGCUAAUCGGAAUUACUGGGCGUAAAGGGUGCGCAGGCGGUUCUGUAAGUCAGAUGUGAAAUCCCCGGACUUAACCUGGGAAUU
RNAcentral lists this ribosomal RNA (424 nucleotides) under uncultured Nitrosomonas sp. RNAcentral's name for it is "bacterial SSU rRNA". It matches the Rfam family "Bacterial small subunit ribosomal RNA", at positions 202 to 622 of the family's 1533-position model. The record is from RNAcentral. Lineage: Bacteria; Pseudomonadati; Pseudomonadota; Betaproteobacteria; Nitrosomonadales; Nitrosomonadaceae.